CUUACCCUCUACCCUCUCUCAUUGUUUGUGUAUUGUGAAGAGGGUUCCUUGUUUUUUCUCUCAUUUCUAUUUGUUUAGCUAGGGUCUAGUUCCUCCUUAUUCUGCCGACCAGCGGCUCCCUCUGCCCCUCAAGGGUAGGGGGAGCUCGUCCCUCAGCCCGAAUAUGGGUUACACCCUCCCCUCCGGGAUGGGUUGAAGGUAGGUUAUUUUAUUUUUGGUUUACAAGUCAGUAGUUCAUUUGAUUUAUUUGACUCUGUGUUAGCUUGCAUGUAUUUUUUUUGUUUGUGUUGUUGCUCUUGCAGAGAAAUUGCUUCAAUGGCUGUGGUAGAGAAAGGGAGGUACCCCGAGGAUCAAGAGUUGACCGAGUGAGUGUCACCCCCUUCGGCUAUAUCAAAAUGAGAAGCCACAGGGCUCUACGUUUCUCUCAAAUUUCUACUCCCUUCAAGCUUUGGAUCUAGGGGCCUUAGCACUACUUUUGUGGGUUUGGGUUUUCUGGAUCUUUCCUACCCAUUCAAUUUCAACAGCGGUGCUUCCAUGGCUGGUGCUUCUAUUUUUAGGAGGUCUUCUAGCUUGCCUGUCCUUUUUCACCAUGGGUUGCUUUCGGGACUCUCUUUUAAGGCAAUAUCAGCCAUCUGUAGUCCAUUGAUGCUUCAAUCGAAGUUGUCUUUCCCUGGUGAAAGUUCAGUCAUCUCUCUGCACAGCUCCUUCUACCGCAGCUUUUGGUUUCUUUAGGCGGGUCAUGGGCCUGGGCAAUGGUGCAUCAUCAACUAGGGUUUUGUGAAGGGCUUUGACCCUCUUUUAGAAUAUGGUUGGGUUUGUUUAGAUAGGCCUCUGUAAAUUGGGUCAUGAGUCCUUUUUCUAAACUAAAAUUAUAAAUUGUUUCAUAUAUCAAUAAAUUUUAAUAUCUU
This 908-nucleotide unclassified non-coding RNA is filed under the name Hevea brasiliensis (rubber tree). The record is from RNAcentral. Lineage: Eukaryota; Viridiplantae; Streptophyta; Magnoliopsida; Malpighiales; Euphorbiaceae.